RNAcentral lists this unclassified non-coding RNA (395 nucleotides) under soil metagenome. RNAcentral's name for it is "partial contains 5.8S ribosomal RNA, internal transcribed spacer 2, and large subunit ribosomal RNA". The stretch from base 1 to 120 matches the Rfam family "5.8S ribosomal RNA", at positions 35 to 154 of the family's 154-position model. The record is from RNAcentral.
GAUGAAGAACGUAGCGAAAUGCGAUAAGUAAUGUGAAUUGCAGAAUUCAGUGAAUCAUCGAAUCUUUGAACGCACCUUGCGCCUUUUGGUAUUCCGAAAGGCACACCUGUUUGAGCGUCAUGAAUACCUCAAUCUCCAUCUUUUCUUCGGAUUGAUGGGUGACUUGGAUGUUGAGCCCUGCUGGUAUGCUAUAUCAGCUGGCUUUAAACUUAUUAGCCGGCUCUGUACUGGAUCGGUUUGACUCGACGUGAUAAUAUUAUCGUUGAGGAUGCAUGUCUCAUGCAGCCGGAAAGUAUCAAAGCAGCUUCUAGCUUGCCUUCAGUGCACUUUUACAUUUUAGACCUCAGAUCAGGUGGGACUACCCGCUGAACUUAAGCAUAUCAAUAAGCGGAGGA